Molecule: transfer RNA, 65 nt
Filed under: marine eukaryotic metagenome
Rfam family: tRNA
About the family: Transfer RNA (tRNA) molecules are approximately 80 nucleotides in length. Their secondary structure includes four short double-helical elements and three loops (D, anti-codon, and T loops). Further hydrogen bonds mediate the characteristic L-shaped molecular structure. tRNAs have two regions of fundamental functional importance: the anti-codon, which is responsible for specific mRNA codon recognition, and the 3' end, to which the tRNAs corresponding amino acid is attached (by aminoacyl-tRNA synthetases). tRNAs cope with the degeneracy of the genetic code in two manners: having more than one tRNA (with a specific anti-codon) for a particular amino acid; and 'wobble' base-pairing, i.e. permitting non-standard base-pairing at the 3rd anti-codon position.
Source: RNAcentral
UCUAUAGCUCAAUGGAUAGAGCACCUGACUACGGAUCAGGGGGUUGGGGGUUCAAGUCCUCCUAG